Molecule: transfer RNA, 73 nt
Filed under: Candidatus Woesearchaeota archaeon
Lineage: Archaea; Nanobdellati; Candidatus Woesearchaeota
Also listed under: 1 other name
Description: tRNA-Thr
Rfam family: tRNA
About the family: Transfer RNA (tRNA) molecules are approximately 80 nucleotides in length. Their secondary structure includes four short double-helical elements and three loops (D, anti-codon, and T loops).
Source: RNAcentral
GCUCCCGUAGCAUAGCCGGCAAUGCGCCACCUUGGUAAGGUGGAGAUCGGGGGUUCAAAUCCCCCCGGGGGCU